CCUACGGGAGGCAGCAGUGGGGAAUUUUGGACAAUGGGCGCAAGCCUGAUCCAGCAAUGCCGCGUGAGUGAAGAAGGCCUUCGGGUUGUAAAGCUCUUUUGUCAGGGAAGAAACGGUGAAGGCUAAUAUCUUUUGCUAAUGACGGUACCUGAAGAAUAAGCACCGGCUAACUACGUGCCAGCAGCCGCGGUAAUACGUAGGGUGCAAGCGUUAAUCGGAAUUACUGGGCGUAAAGCGUGCGCAGGCGGUUUUGUAAGUUUGUCGUGAAAUCCCCGGGCUCAACCUGGGAAUGGCGAUGAAGACUGCAAGGCUAGAAUCUGGCAGAGGGGGGUUAGAAUUCCACGUGUAGCAGUGAAAUGCGUAGAGAUGUGGAGGAACACCGAUGGCGAAGGCAGCCCCCUGGGUCAAGAUUGACGCUCAUGCACGAAAGCGUGGGGAGCAAACAGGAUUAGAUACCCUGGUAGUCCACGCCCUAAACGAUGUCUACUAGUUGUACGGUUUUAAUUAACUUGGUAACGCAGCUAACGCGUGAAGUAGACCGCCGUGGGGAGGUACGGUACGGCGAGUAAGUUAAACGUUAAAGUUAAGUUAAGUUAGUUACGGUUACGUGAGACGUUAGCGACGGACGACGACGAGGGAGGAGG
RNAcentral lists this ribosomal RNA (644 nucleotides) under uncultured bacterium. Its description in RNAcentral is "bacterial SSU rRNA". The stretch from base 1 to 543 matches the Rfam family "Bacterial small subunit ribosomal RNA", at positions 338 to 873 of the family's 1533-position model. The record is from RNAcentral.